GAGAAUGGCGUGAACCCGGGAGGCGGAGUUUGCAGUGAGCCGAGAUCGCGCCACCGCACUCCAGCCUGGGCGACAGAGCAAGACUCAUUCUCAAAGAAAAAAAAAAAAAAAAACAGCAGCUGUGACCAAGGGGCUGUAUGCACAAAGAAAGGAAUGCUUUUUGCUGUUGGUGUUAUAAUUGAUAUGUAACUUUCCUCUUCCCCCAUAGCAAGCAAGUUUAUUGCUGACAUUUAACAUGUGCUUGGAUGAUUGGAGGCCAACCUCUUGUAGGCAAGAAAGUCACAGUGAUGGCAGAUCCUCGCGAGGAGCUCAUACUGGGAUACUCAAAAUGGGGGCGCUUUCCUUUUUGUCUGUACUGGGAAGUGCUUCGAUUUUGGGGUGUCCCUGUUUGAGUAGGGCAUCACGAACCAUCCUGCUUCAAGGGAGCCUGCGGGUCUGACUGCAGCUUCAGCUAUGACCUGGAGUUCCCGGGCUUCUCUGCGGGGCACCAGUCUGUAUGCUCCAUUUUAGAUAAUAAAAAUUGGCAUAUUCUGGGGUGGGCAGGAUACGGGGUUCACCUGCAGAUGAACAGGGCAGGAAAAGCUUGAUGGGGUGUCGGGGGAAUCUGGUUGGCCUUAAAGGGAAUUUGGGGUCCUGUUCCUGAAUUUGGUAGGCAGCAUGCAUGUAAGGCUUGAAGUGGGUUUGGCCAGAGCAUGGGCUGGAGUGCUUCCACCCUGCUACACGGACAAUGCCACAGUCUCACUUUUCCUAACUUUUUUUUUUAAUAAAAUGUGAACAACAUCAUGUGUUUCUGGUCUAUUGGGUUCCUCUGCCACCCACAAGUGCUGGGAUUACAGGCAUGAGCCUCAUGUCUGGCGUUACUGAACCUUCUUCUAUGACCCAAGUACAUUGCCUAAAAAUACUUGUCAGUAUUUUGUGCUUCCCUUCUACCCCUGCUAGAACUUAGAGUUAUGCUCUUUGAGAGUUCUGCUCUUUAAACUUCAAACAAGUUUAAAAAGUAAGGCCGGGCACAGUGGCAGCACUGCCGAGGCCGACGCAGGCUGAUCAUGAGGUCAGAUCAAGACCAUCCUGGCUCACACGGUGAAACCACAUCUCUACUAAAAAAUACAAAAACAUUAGCCGGGCAUGGCGGUGGGUGCCUGUAGUCACAGGCUGAGGCAGAAAGGGCAUGAACCCGGGAGGUGGAGCUUGCAGCCAGCCGAGGUUGUGCCACUGCACUCCAGCCUGGGUGACAGCGAUAACUGUCUCAAAAAAUAAAAACCACCCAGGCUGAAGUGUGGUGGCACCAUCACAGCUCCCUGCAGGCCUGAGCUCCCUAGAUCAAAAGAUCUUCCCAUAUAAGCCCCCCCUCACCCCACCCUUAGUAGCUGGCACCACAGGAGUGUCCCCGCCAUGCUCCACUAAUGUUUAGUAGAAAUUGGGGUCUCAUACAUUGGCCAGCUUGGUCUGAAACUUAGGGGGAAUCAAACAUCCCUCCUUUAGUAGAGAUGGGGCUUUACUGUCUUGCCCUGGGUGGCCUCCCUGGGAUGAUGGGUGUGAGCCACAGUGCCAGGCCUAAGUUCAUAUUUGGAAGGUUUUUUUGCUUCAGAUGGUCUCGUGCUCUCGCUCAGGUUGGAGCGCAAUGGCGCAAUCUUGGUUCACUGCAACCUCUGCCAGCUUAAGCGAUUCUCCUGCCCCCGCCUCCCAAGUAGCUGGGAUUACAGGCAUAAGCCACCACGCCUGGCUAAUUUUUUGCAUUUUUUAGAGAUGGGAUUUCUCCACGUUGGCCAGGCUGCUCUGGAACUCCUGACCCCAGGUGAUCCACCCACCUCGGCCUCCCAAAGUGCUGGGAUUAUAGGCGUGAGCCACCACGUGGGGCCUUCAGUAGGUUCUUAGUUGCUGUUUGCCCUAUCACUGGUUUCCGGGUCUGCUGGCCACUAUCCCCUGUAAGUUUUCCUAUCCCCUGUAGGUGUUCCAAACCCUUGCGGCUGCUUUGCCCACUCCACAGUAUCUGAACUGAAGUAAGAUCUCAAAUUCAAGGGAGUUUUGUUUUGCUAUUUGUACCCGCAAUUCAUAAAGCAGUUGUAGCCUCUGUCCCAAUACCGCCACCACUGGUGGGGAGUCCGCCACGGUAACCAGUAAGACUUCUCUUUAUAUUUGACCUACCUGGGCCUCCUGUCAUCUUUUCUACGGGCAGCUUGGGGAUUGUUAGUUGAGGGUUUUUUGUUUUUGUGUUUUUUUUUUUGUUUUUUUUUUUUUUUAAAGAGAUGGAGUCUCGCUCUGUCGCCAGACUGGAGUACAAUGGCAUGAUCUUGGCUCACUGCAACUUCCACCUCCCAGGUUCAAGCGAUUCUUUUGCCUCAGCCUCCCGAGUAGCUGGUAUUAUAGGCACCCACCACCAUGCCCAGCUAAUUUUUUUUGGAUUUUUAGUACAGAUGGCGUUUCCCCAUGUUGGCCGGGCUGGUCUCACUAAACUCCUGACCUCAAGUGAUCCACCCACCUUGGCCUCCCAAAAUUCUGAGAUUACAGGUUUGAGCCACUGCGCCCAGCCUUUAGUUGAGUUUCUUAAGCUUGUUUAGGGUUUAGCCUGUAUGGCCAGCAGGGUGUAGGUGGGGGUGGUUUGUAAGCAGGGCUGUUUGCUUCAGAAGCAGCUGUGGAAACAGGACUGAAUGCAGACAUAUAAAGAAUAUUGGGUAAAUAACUUUUUAAAAAAUUUAGAGAUAGGAUCCCACUAUGUUGCCCAAUCUGGUCUUGAAACCUAAACAAUCUCUUAUCCCAAAGUGCUGGGAUUGCAGAAAGCUUAAGGCACAGUUUUACGUGGUAAUGGUGGGCCAUUUUUAGUUUCUUUUUUGUAGACGAUCAUGUCAUCUAGGCUGGAAUGUAGCGGUUCUGUCGAGCUAGGUGUAGCCUCCACUUCCUGGACUCAAGCAUUUUUCCUCAGCUUCAGUAGCUGGGUCUAUGCAUGAAUACCCCUUCUGGGGUAGAUAGAUAGUAGUACAUAGAGUAGAUAAUUUUUUUGUGUUCAGGCGGCACCUUAAGGUUGGUGUAAAAAUUCUUGGCCUUCUAAAGAGCUGGAAUUAGACAUGAGCUGUUGCACCUGGCCAAUGGGACAAUUAUGUCUACAGGACUGAAUCAGUAUCUGAUCUCUGGAGUUGUAAGGUCACUUUUUCUGAAACUGCCUCAGUCUCCUUGCAGGUUCUGGUCUGUAGAUCUCCAGUGUGUGGGCUGAGCACAGCAUGGGGACCUGAUUUCCCACCGGGCAGUGACAUAGUUUAAAGAUUCUUAGUUCGAAUUCCUAAUAAUGGGAAUAUAGGUUUCUGUGUAUUGAAAUGGGAAUAUGCAUUUUUUUUUUUUUUAGAGUCUUGCUCUGUCACUAGGCUGGAGUGCAGUGGCACAAUCUCGGCUCACUGCAACCUCCGCCUCCUGGGUUCAAGUGGUUCCCCUGCCUCAGCCUCCUGAGUAGCUGGGACUACAGGCGCCCUCCA
This 3464-nucleotide long non-coding RNA is filed under the name Homo sapiens (human). RNAcentral describes it as "HSALNT0262109". The stretch from base 317 to 385 matches the Rfam family "mir-373 microRNA precursor family". Lineage: Eukaryota; Metazoa; Chordata; Mammalia; Primates; Hominidae. The record is from RNAcentral.